RNAcentral lists this ribosomal RNA (497 nucleotides) under uncultured bacterium. RNAcentral describes it as "partial 16S ribosomal RNA". It matches the Rfam family "Bacterial small subunit ribosomal RNA", at positions 28 to 507 of the family's 1533-position model. The record is from RNAcentral.
GACGAACGCUGGCGGCGUGCCUAAUACAUGCAAGUAGAACGCUGAACUGCGGAGCUUACUCUUCUUGGGUGAGUUACGAACGGGUGAGUAACGAGUAGGUAACCUGACUUGUAGCGGUGAGCAACUAUUGGAAACGAUAGCUAAUAACACUUCUCAAUGCAUGACACAUGUCGUUUAUUUGAAUGGGGCAAUUGCUCCACUACAAGAUGGACUUGCGUUGUAUUAGCUAGUAGGUGAGGUAAUGGCUCACCUAGGCGACGAUACAUAGCCGACCUGAGAGGGUGAUCGGCCACACUGGGGCGGAGACACGGACCAGACGCCUACGGGAGGCAGCAGAAGGGAAUGUUCGGCAAUGGGGGCAACGCUGGCCGAGCGACGCCGCGGGAGUGAAAAAGGAUGUGGGAGCGGAAAGCUGGGUUGUAAGUCAAGAACGGGUGUGAGAGUGGAAAGUUCACACUGUGACGGUAGCUUACCAGAAAGGGACGGCUAACUACGUG